Gasterosteus aculeatus aculeatus (three-spined stickleback) is the source of this 9462-nucleotide long non-coding RNA. The record is from Ensembl. NCBI's taxonomy places the organism in Eukaryota, Metazoa, Chordata, Actinopteri, Perciformes, Gasterosteidae.
AACCUGCAUCGUGGUGCUUCUGGACAAGCCGCCUAAAAGGGAUCUUUAAUAGACCGUCUGUAUGCGGCUUUUGCCACUAUUAGUUUGGGUUUGACUUUAUUCCUUCCCCCUCCUAAAACCAUAGGAAGGGACUUGAACUUUUCAUGGAGAGGCCUUUGUGAUGAGGUAGAAAUUGAGAAAUGUUGGCCAUGAUGAAGUUUGUUUCCUUGCUUCCUGUUUCCUUACAUGUGGAGAAUAAGUGUCUGUGCCCCAGCAGCACCCAGACUAGCAAAAGAAAAGGAUGCGACUCAACAAAAUCCAUCCAGCAAAUACAGUUCUUUCCAAACACAUAUGGCAAAACAAACGAGUGACCGUAACAGUCAGAUGAUGGGUUCCAGCCCCAGAUGUGCCCUUAUGCUUAAGAUGUAUUGUAAGAAGGAGAAGCAUAGAUGUGGAUGUGAAGGAUUGGUGAAUAAAAAGAAUGUGGCUUGAAUAUACGGUAGCUUGCCCAAUAAAAUCAGUAUAUUUAUAUCUUUGAAUGUAUUUGUUUCAUUUAGUUUGACAAAGUUAGGACGAUGUUGUCUGACGCAUACAGAGUGAUCCGAGUCUCACCAUUCAUCCAACCCACACUGGGUGACAUUUACCUUGUUGACUGAACACUGGCAGCAGAUUGGUACUCAGGCCCGACUGAUACCCAAAGCCCAGAUAUCAAUAUUACUAUCAGGGGUGAAUAAGUCAGAUUAAUGCAUCUUAAUGAAAUUAAAAACAUGAACAUUGCAGAGACUGAAAGCAAAACCAACUGAGAGAAGACCAACAGCUGCUCGCUGGAGCUACAAGGUUUCCAUCCUCAUUUGUUUUCUCCACGUACGGAUCACAGGCCGAAGACAGCCGCCAAUCAUCCGAGGCGUGAUGAUGGGCAGCGGCUCUGACACACAGAGCGGAUGCCCCGCCACUGAAACCAAUUCAUCUCCCAUCAGCUGCUCAUAAACAACCCGUCAAUAUCCUCCCUGAGAUCCUCCGUGAGCCGAGUGUGCUCACAAUGUUGUUGGGGAGUCAUUUAUCGACGCGCACACCAAUCAAAUAUUUAUUAUGGAGGAGCUCUUGGUUUGGAAACAUGAUCAAUCGUUCUGCCCUCCGGUGUACAAAUUACAGCGGUUAAGAGUGGAAUCGUACCGAUUCUUGUUCAAGACGUCAUAACACAAGAACAUAUUGAUCUCGCCCUCGAAGCGUGGGGUGAAACCCGUGUGAACACAGACAAGGAAUAUGGAGAUCAUGGAAAUCGUGAAAAUAUUGAAGGAGCUUUAAAAAACAAAUAUUUAACACAAAGACAGUAUCACUAAGCGUCCUAGUUGUCAUAUAUUAUGAUUGUGCCCAGUCCUCUUUUUAUAUUUAGCAAAACUAACGAAGCACGUGGUCCUCAAUCUCAAGCUCUACGAAUAUGGGCCAGAGAUCAAGAGAGCCCCUAAACGGGGGCUGCUUCUCAGCAUAUAUACAUGAACCCUGAAAGGCAACACGGACGCUUUUAAUCUCGAAGCCGUUCUUUUUUCAUGUGUUCUCCAGUGGGAAUAAUAAGGAGGGAAAACAAUUUAGAUGAGACCAUGAUCUCCAGAAUUCUCCCUCUCACUCAGUUUCUUACUCUGAGAGUCAGGAAAGUGCUGUAUAUCAAUAUUUGUGGCUCAGGGCAGAUCUGACCCAGGUGUCUCUGGUGAAGCCCGGUUUAUGGGAUCGAAUCCCCGAUCUAACGGGUCAGGUGAACUGCUCGAUCGGCUCUCUAAAGCAGAACACUGUUGGGUUCAGACGUGCAGGCCAGCUGAGGAGGAGCCGGUGGAAUCACAGCCUCGCUGCUCUUAACUAAUCGAAGCCAACCCCCCCCCCACCUUCCUCCCCCCUUCCUCCCCCCCGCUCUCCUCCCCACCAACGCCAACAGACUCCGAGCUCUUUCGGGGCUAAACACACACAUAGUGGCGUUUUUGAUCUCCUUCUCACUCGGCACUUAACAUCGACUUCCCCUCGUAUCUUCCUUAAACGCCGACGCCGAGUGCUUUGUCCCACGUUUAGGUAUGCGUAGAUACUUUCUCAGGAUUAGAGGGAAGUUAGCGGGUUAAAGGCUCUGAUGUUGAGAUGUGCUGCUGCUGUCAGGAGGCUCGCAGGAGAAGAUAAGUGGACGACUUAAAACUGCUUGUAGGGAUUAAGAUCAGCGACGGCAGAGUAAAGUUUGGAACUUUAAGUCACAGUUGUGAAGUAAAGCCAUUGAGCACAAAGUAGGUAGUAGUUUUUUUAUGUGCCAGAAGUACAAAGUCAGUGUUCUCUCUUAUUACCCAAUGACCCGAUUCAUCAAAACCUGCAGCUCUCAGUGUUUAAAUAUCCUCGUAUUAGCUCAAACACUUUCUCAUUCUAACAUUUCUUAAUUAUUCUAUUCUAUUCUGAUAUAAUAAUAUGAUGGGUAAUAGCUAUUAUUAUUCUAAAUGAGUUGUCAUGGUACGAUAGUCAGACCACUGAAAGGUUCAGGAGGUUUUUUAUCAUGUUCUGUUAUAAUAAACAGAGCAGGGGUUGUUAUCUUAAUUUCCCUCUCGGUGGUUGUCUGUGCUUUAGAAAUGUAAAGUUUGAUACGGACUUGAUUUUUGGGUCGGUUGGAGUUCGGUUUACAUCACGUUUACGGUGUUCGUGUGUCAAUCAGGGUCCUCACAGGGAUAGAAAUAAACAUGUGUGUGUCCUACAGAGGACAGAUGGGUUCUCCCCCUCCCCGUUACGCACACACACACACACACACACACACACAGAGGCAUGUGGUGAUGAGCAGAGAGAGGGGUCAGAGGUCACAACCCCAGAGGGUCAGAGGACACGUGUGGAGGUGGGACGGCCGUGUGUGUGGGUUCGACACUCAUCUUCAUGAGCUUACUAAGACACACACACACACACACACACACACACACACACACAUUCAUGCAUUUCAGAUCAACUACUCUUUUAAAGUCAGUUCAUUUGUAAAGUCGAGGAUUUUAGGUUUAUUUUGAAAGGGUGAGACUAACGAUGGCACUUUUAACGGUUUCUGUCCUUCCUACAUGGCCGACAGUACAGAGAGCAAACAGCUACUUGUCCAGAUGGAACAAGUGAAACUUCUGCACGUGAGAAAUGUAAGAACAGGCGCAGUCGAUUGAGCUUUUAUUUGGUUUCCUGGUGAUAACUAAUCAGGUCAUUCCAUAGUCGGUGGAGAGAUUUUUUUAAAAGUGCCUCGGCUCCUUUUUGGAGGUUUGGGCUUCGCUCAAUGAAGAAAAGCCUUCACGCCGACUGAUGAAAGGAAUUAAAAGAGGAAAAGAACGCAGCCUAAAUGAGCUGAAUACGUAAUUUUUGAUCAAUAUUUAAUACAACAAAGUUUGCUCUUUGAGGCUCUUAUACCUUUCAUCACGAGAAGAGAGGAGUUCAUUACUGUGCGUGGAAAGAACACUGCAAGAAGUGUCGAGCUACAGACAGACGUUGUGAUCAUUAGUGCAGCUUAUACUUGAACUUGUUGUUUUGUGUAAUAAAGUGAGAAAUCCAUGUGUGACGAGAUACCGCUAACAACACCACAACACCGGAAGUUAAUCCUGCGAGACCCACUCAUAGUACGGUAACACUACAGUAUCUACAUCCCCCUUCUUUAGGUCCUGAAGAGGAGAAAAUAGAAUCACACACUUCUGCACUAACAGCACUUUUAUAAUAGAAAUGUAGUUAUCAUCUGGGUCACUUAAAAGUCUGUAAAGUGGCCGAUGACUAAUUGCAUUGUCAACACAAUAAAACCUUAUGCAGAUCACAAAGUAUUAUUUCUGACAUUUUGGAUUCAAUAAACUAAGCUAUCUCAGUUGUGUGUGUGUUUUCUCUUUGGCCUAGAGGCUUUGGCAGACCUAGUGCGAUACAUGGAACUGGGCUUUUGGUCUGCGGUUCCACGCCUUGCUGGGAUGCACUGGUGGGAGGCUUUUCUGGACUUAGUUGCCUGUGACACUGCUCUGCUGGUGUUUGUUCAGUUCUUUCAGUCCCUUGUGGUUUGUCCAUGUCAGGGUCAAGUGUGUAAGCUGUAGUGUUCACUGGCAGGAUGUGGCGUCGAUUACGCCUGUAUUCCUUCCCUUCAGAAUCUACCACAUAUGAGCGUGGCUCAUCACACCUUUGCUUCACAAUUCCCACUUUAUCAUUUCCCCUUUAUGUUGAAAGUCACCUGGUUUGGUUUCAGGGGGCGUAGUGGUUUGCUGGUCUUGUCGUAGUUGUUUUUGUGUCUGCUGCUUCUUUGUUAAUUGUGCUUUAAUGCUGGUUGGGGUUCUUGAAGCUGGUUUUAGCAGUUGUUUGCAGAUGGGCAGAAUGGUUUGAGUGUGACGGGACACUAGCCUCUGUGCAGGUGAGCCAAAGAUGUUGUCUCGCGGCAUGUUUUGUAAGCCAAGCAGAUUCAGGUAGAAGUCUGUCCCGUGUCUGUGGUCUGUUUCUUUGCUCUCCUUUCUCUCACUGAGUCCAUUACACUGUGGAUACUCUGAACUGCUCGUCACAUGCCGGAAAUCCCAAAAUCGGGCAAAGUCAUGGAAAGCCUGGCUGGUAUACUGGGUGCCAUUGUCGGAGUACAGCUUCUGUGGUAUGCCGUGGAUUGAGAACUGACGCUUUAGCUUAUUGAUGACAGUGGAUGAUGACUGGUCAAUUUCAAACCAGCCAGAGUAUGAAUGAACAAGUACCAGGUCAUGGUGAUUCUUCUAUUCCAAUAUGUGAGAGACCAGGGCAGGUCUGGGACUUUUUCUGUUGACAUAAUGGCAGCCUGAAUGUCCUCAUAAGAUGCCCUACGACGUCAUCAUGUUCCUUCAUACGCCCACUGACAUCAUCAUGUUCCUUCAUUCGUCCAACGACGUCAUCACGUUCCUUCAUACGUCCUACGACAUCAUCACGUUCCUUCAUACGCCCACUGACGUCAUCACGUUCCUUCAUACGUCCUAAGACGUCAUUACGUUCCUUCAUACGCCCACUGACGUCAUCACGUUCCUUCAUACGUCCUAAGACGUCAUUACGUUCCUUCAUACGCCCACUGACGUCAUCACGUUCUUUCAUACGUCCUAAGACGUCAUUACGUUCCUUCAUACGCCCACUGACGUCUUCACGUUCCUUCAUACGUCCUAAGACGUCAUCACGUUCCUUCAUACGCCCACUGACGUCAUCACGUUCCUUCAUACUUCCUAAGACGUCAUCACGUUCCUUCAUACUUCCUAAGACGUCAUCACGUUCCUUCAUACUUCCUAUGACGUCAUUACGUUCCUUCAUAUGCCCACUGACGUCAUCACGUUCCUUCAUACGCCCUAAGACGUCAUCACGUUCCUUCAUAUGCCCACUGACGUCAUCACGUUCCUUCAUACGCCCUAAGACGUCAUCACGUUCCUUCAUACGCCCUACAACAUCAUCACAAAGCUUCCUUUUCUAUCACAGAAUAGUUCAACUGAUACUUUCUGGAGAACAAACUCACAGUCCUGUCCCUCCCCAACUCAUCCUCUUCUAUCAACACCCCACAUGCUCACCCACGUAACAGGCUCAACCUGCAGUUUAAAAUUGCUACCCAAGCGUGGUGCCACGAGAACCUCUGCUUUCCAGCCUCAAAAGCACUGUGACAAACAGCGGACCACACAAAUCUAACCUUACCCUUUAGCAGGUCCGUCAAUGGAGCCACCACAAUUGUAAAUACUGAAAGCCCUAUAAUAACCCACUAACCCCAGACCUGUCCUCAGUUCCUUUCCUGGAGCUGGCGUUGGAUACUGGUCGAUUGACUGCACCUUUGCUCUCAGAGGGCGAACCCCUCCUUGACCUACCUAAACAGCGUGUUUACCGGUAAACUGAGUAAACUACUACCCCAUCAAAAUACACCGCACAUCCGUCCAGACCACGGACAACCGUAUUUAUCAGCCAUUGGAACGCAGCAGGUGUAUUUCUCAACCCGAAAGGCAUAACAGAGUAAGAAUACAGACCAGUUGGCGUAAUAAAUGCUGCAUCUCAAGGGCCCUUUGAGACAACGGGACCUGCCAGUAACCCUUCAAAGGGUCAAAUUUGUUGAUGUACUUUGCAACCCCGACUGUUCAAUGCAGUCCUCCAUACAUGGUAGGGGAUAGCAAUCCGGUUUAGUGACACUGUUGACCUUCCUGAAAUCUGAACAAAACCGAGGGGUAUUGUCAGACUUUGUUACGAGUAAACAAAGUGAAGCCCAGCUAGAGGAGGACGGUUCAGCAAUGCCGUUCUUCAACAUAUAUUAUCUCAUAUUAUCUCAGCAUCGCUUUUCCAGACUGACUCGAUAAAAUCUUUGUUUUAUCGGCUUUGCAUCCACUACGUCGAUAUCCCACCCACUUUCUAUCUAAUAUGUUGAAUGAAGUACCCUUGCACCCGAUUCUACACCUCAUCAGCUGAAAGAACAGACUGGAAGAACUCACCCAGUGCACACAGUCAGCUUUUUGCUCACUCACCAACUCACUGUGUGGGACCGACAAAGGAUUGUUCAACAGAGAGCAUUUAUUGAAUUUCUCAGGGUCCUUUAUUUUUGUAUUCUCCAAGUCCAACUCUGCCUCUGCCCUGUGUCUGGCCGCCCUCAUGACUUGAGUCACCACGCAAAUCUUCAAAACAUCAUAAUACCGCCUCUCGUUAUCCUGGCCCAUAUGCAGGGGCACCGUGACACGUACCGUUGACCUGGAUCAUCAGACACGCCCAGACACGUUCCCCAUCCAAAUCAUUACCCAGUAUCAGCGUUAUGCCGUCAACUGGGACAAAGGGAUACUUUGAUUCAGAGAGCGACGCCUGGGGAGUAACCUCAGCCAGGUGAAUUGGCACAAGUGAUGGUUUUGGAGGUAUUAAAAUGUCGUACAAAUUUGCCUUUAAAAUAGCUUUUACGUUUUCCUUUAAUCUUUUAUCUCCUACCACAUAGUGAUCAGCUAUCCUCGAUAACUGUACUUUCGUACAGAGAUCUAAAAAUGCCUCCACUUCCGCCAUAACACAAAUAAUCGGUGGGCAACCACAAAAUAAGAAAACAAACCAGAAACAAAAAGCCUGUACAGUACCGACCCUAUUAAAGUCAGAACAGGGCAUCGGCGCACCCUCGCAAAUUGAGCAUCCCCGCUAACUUCCUAUCCAACUUUAGGUAACUCAACCUGGUCUUCAAGGGCUACUAAUGGCGGGUACUUACGCACCGAAACCCGAUAGUCCAACAAAGCGACCAGCAAGCUGGCAACAACUGCUCACAACCACUUUUACCCCGGACAUAUACGUACACAUACAUAUACACAAACGAAUCCCCAAAAUGGAAAAUGUGCUUUUCUUACCAAAGUCAACUUGCCAGCUACGCAACCACCAGGUCAGCACUCACCUUGAUUUGUCCUGCGUCCAUGUUGACAAUAGACAACUUAAAACCCCAAAAUCUGAGGCCCUUAGCCAUACAAAACCACUAGCCCUCAACAAAAAAGUAUGAGAAAACUUCUCACUAUGGUUUCACCACAAGCACACAACAAUUCCAAUACUUGACAAGAUAACGCAGGGAACGCACUGCCAUUACCAUCCAUCCAACUUACAUCUAAUUAAAAAAAUCACAAUAUAUAAUGGACAAUGUAAAUUCAAACAUAUAGACCGAGUAUGUCGAAAAUAAUUGGACGAGCCCUCAAUUUGUUACAGUCUGAGUCCUAGACCGCAAAAAAUGACAGAUGAUUAAAGCAAUUAAAGGUUUUUAACACAAAAAGGUUUAUUCCAUAAAUAUAAACCUUGCUUUACUUUACUUAUACAAAAACGAAGGUACUAUAAUUCAUGUAUAAUCCACGUGAGCCAUGACGUACAGGGCUGCCCCUAAGGAAUUUUGUAUGAACUCCACAAAAGGAAGAAGGUGAUGGUGGGUGAGCAAAUCAAACAAACACAGGACUUCCACAAAGGAGACCUCAGCACAUGUCCCGCCUGAAACAUAAAGACACCGUUGGACAUUCAUAGAGGAAUGCUUCAUUUACAAAUCAAACAAACCAACGUCUGAGAAGAUGUCACAUGCGAGUGAUUUCAGCUGUCAGUACGUUGGUGCAGUUUGGGUUUCAGUCAACAGAAAUUCACGAGCCUCCUCCUCACUUCUUCCAGUGUAUUCAGACGAUGUCAACGUAGCGGCGCCGCUUGCCUCUGAUCUCCUCGCCUCGUUAAAACACCAAACACACAUCUCUGCCGCUCCGAUUCCCAGAAACCCGUGCGUCUUAGCAGCCGUUAGUAACCUUAAGCCGGCCUUAAGCUGCGGCGAGGCCCGACGCCUCAUUGAUAAUUGAAAAGUAAAGCGGCGGUGAUUAAUUUUUGACAGUGUUGCGGUUUUAACGACGACGGCCCCUCGUCGAACCGCCGGCUCCGGACUCCUGCUGUUGAUGUGAGGAUCCCGCAGAAUCAAAGCGGCGGCCGGGCUCUCGAGGGUUUCCAUCCCUCCUUUCACUCGGCCAGGCUUUAAUGCCCACCUGAGGGACGGGUGGGGGGGGGGGGCAAGGUUCUCUCACUCCAGGUCGAUACUUUCUCUCUCCAGCUGAGCGGAAUCACAGCCUCGCUGCUCUUAACUAAUCGAAGCCAACCCCCCCUUCCUCCCCCCCGCUCUCCUCCCCACCAACGCCAACAGACUCCGAGCUCUUUCGGGGCUAAACACACACAUUGUGGCGUUUUUGAUCUCCUUCUCACUCGGCACUUAACAUCGACUUCCCCUCGUAUCUUCCUUAAACGCCGACGCCGAGUGCUUUGUCCCACGUUUAAGUAUGCGUAGAUACUUUCUCAGGAUUAGAGGGAAGUUAGCGGGUUAAAGGCUCUGAUGUUGAGAUGUGCUGCUGCUGUCAGGAGGCUCGCAGGAGAAGAUAAGUGGACGACUUAAAACUGCUUGUAGGGAUUAAGAUCAGCGACGGCAGAGUAAAGUUUUGAAAUCCCCAAAAACGUAAGAAUUACUCCGGCAAAGUACUUGCUCAGUGUUUGAGAGUAACGUGUUUUUUUAAUAAUUUCCUUCCUCACAAAGUCCGUAUUUACCUGUAAAUACGAAUGUCAGACUUCAACCCAGGAGGCCGCUGUUCUUCUUCUGCUCUUACCAGGGUUUAAACAUUCAUCUAGUAACUAGUUAGGUGAACUUUUGGCAGAGCCUUGCAGCUGUCUCUCAGUCGUAUCAAACUGCCCCCCCCUCCCACACUCAUCCAUCCAGCUGUGAGAUCAUAUCGAUUAGAAACAACCGCAGCUCUUUUGAUAAUCUUUUCAUCUUGGGAGAAGGUAAAAACACACACACACCUGCAGCUGAUUCGCAGGAACUUUCGGGAACGUCAAUAAUAGAUAAAUACACAACACAACUUUUCUGAUCUCAACAAAACUUUCACAUCCAGAGCGACUUAAACAAACAGCCGUUGGAUUCCAAAAUGUUUGAGAAAAACACCUCUGACGGGUUCGACUCCUGGGAAGGAAAAUAGAUCAUAAAAAUCCUUGAAACUUAAAAAGGCAAGUAUCGAGAAAACAUUUUUUUUA